UGUUGGUAAGGUAGUGGCUUACCAAGGUGAUAACGGGUAACGGGGAAUCAGGGUUCGAUUCCGGAGAGGGAGCCUGAGAAACGGCUACCACAUCCAAGGACGGCAGCAGGCGCGCAAAUUACCCAAUCCAGACACUGGGAGGUGGUGACGAGAAAUACCAGGUCGGUCCCAAAAGGAUUCGACACUGGAAUGAGUUUAAUUUAAAAAUUUAAACGAGAAACAACUGGAGGGCAAGUCUGGUGCCAGCAGCCGCGGUAAUUCCAGCUCCAGUAGUGUAUCCAAACGUUGCUGCGGUUAAAACGCUCGUAGUUGGACAAGAGAGUAACUUGGUGCGGGCGGGGAGUGUGAAGCUCUAUGUGUUUGCCGGUUGUGGUUGGUGUUAUCCGUAUUGUGUCAAAGCUUUACGAGUGCACUGGCGCUUCAGGAUGUAGCAUAGUAGUGCACUCGUCGACCAUGCUGCCAGGUUGCUUGUAAUGUUUCGUGAGAAUGGUGCAUGGUCUUUAUUGUAUUGUGUACUGUGUCUUACGUAGUGUGCCUUGAAUAAAUCAGAGUGCUCAAAGCAAGCUAUCGCUUGAAUGUUAAUAGCAUGGAACGAAUGUGUUGUGAGAGUGUGCUAGUGACUGGGCUUCGUGCACGGUCCUAGUGCAUAGCACCAACCGCGAAGCGGAACAUUGGUUGCCGACUUCGGGUGAGGAUUAAGAGGGGCAUUUGGGGGCAUUAGUAUUUGGCCGCGAGAGGUGAAAUUCUUGGACCGGCCAAGGACUAACAAGUGCGAAAGCAUUUGCCAAGUAUGUUCCCUUUAAUCAAGAACGAAAGUGAGAGGUUCGAA
RNAcentral lists this ribosomal RNA (829 nucleotides) under Zschokkella cardinalis. RNAcentral describes it as "SSU rRNA". It matches the Rfam family "Eukaryotic small subunit ribosomal RNA", at positions 323 to 1002 of the family's 1831-position model. The record is from RNAcentral. Lineage: Eukaryota; Metazoa; Cnidaria; Myxozoa; Bivalvulida; Myxidiidae.